AUUAAAAUUUAAUUAGCAAUAAAUUGUACGCCGGUUCGCGUCCGGUCACCGAAGUUAAGCAAUGUAGGGCGCGGUCAGUACCUGGAUGGGUGACCGUCUGGAAACAACGCGUGACGUUGGUU
Non-coding RNA from Danaus plexippus plexippus, 122 nucleotides. NCBI's taxonomy places the organism in Eukaryota, Metazoa, Arthropoda, Insecta, Lepidoptera, Nymphalidae. The record is from Rfam.